UAGGGAAUCUUCGGCAAUGGACGAAAGUCUGACCGAGCAACGCCGCGUGAGUGAAGAAGGUUUUCGGAUCGUAAAACUCUGUUGUUAGAGAAGAACAAGGACGUUAGUAACUGAACGUCCCCUGACGGUAUCUAACCAGAAAGCCACGGCUAACUACGUGCCAGCAGCCGCGGUAAUACGUAGGUGGCAAGCGUUGUCCGGAUUUAUUGGGCGUAAAGCGAGCGCAGGCGGUUUCUUAAGUCUGAUGUGAAAGCCCCCGGCUCAACCGGGGAGGGUCAUUGGAAACUGGGAGACUUGAGUGCAGAAGAGGAGAGUGGAAUUCCAUGUGUAGCGGUGACAUGCGUAGAUAUAUGGAGGAACACCAGUGGCGAGGGCGGUUCUCUGGUCUGUAACUGACGCUGAGGCUCGAAAGCGUGGGGAGCAAACAGG
RNAcentral lists this ribosomal RNA (429 nucleotides) under Gemmatimonadota bacterium. RNAcentral describes it as "Gemmatimonadetes bacterium partial 16S ribosomal RNA". It matches the Rfam family "Bacterial small subunit ribosomal RNA", at positions 355 to 776 of the family's 1533-position model. The record is from RNAcentral. Lineage: Bacteria; Pseudomonadati; Gemmatimonadota.